GUUUCUUUUGCAAAUAAUGAUUGAAAUGUUUCUCAUUGUACUCAACCUCUUAAACUACCUAUAGGCUUUGCUUGAGAGUAAUCAGGCUACAAAGGAUGCCAAUGAAAUUCCUUCUGCCUCAAAUGGAGACAAUGACGAGUGGUCAUAAGUACAGAGAUUGCA
Zea mays is the source of this 162-nucleotide long non-coding RNA. RefSeq lists it as uncharacterized. The transcript has 3 exons. The record is from RefSeq and is a predicted model, not a curated record. NCBI's taxonomy places the organism in Eukaryota, Viridiplantae, Streptophyta, Magnoliopsida, Poales, Poaceae.